UUUUUUUUGUUUUGUUUUGUUUUUGGGGUUUUUGGGGGGUUUUGUUUGUUUGUUUACUUGUUUUUUAAAUUUGAUUGUUCUUAAGGCAAAUGGGUUUUGUCUUAAGGAUGGGUUUUAAAAUUCUUGAAGAUUUAUUCCUGAAAAAACCCCAAAAAAUCAGAUGUGCAGUCAGUCCUCAGUGUGUGGGGUGGUGAGUACCCCAGAGAACUGACAGAAUUGUGGCUGGAACAUUCCACCAAGAUCAGCUAUGCACAGUGCUGAGUGUCUUCUCCUUUGGAAAACAAAGCAGGAAAGGUAGAUGUGUAUAAAAAUGAAACAAAAAAUUAAAUAAAUACUGUCAGAUUGCAAGCUUCACGAGAUAAAGUUUCAACUUCUAGUCUGGGAUGAAAAUUUAUCCCCUUUCAAAAUAAGGCUUUGCCAAAAAAUAUUUUCUUCCCCAUUACUGUAGCUAAAGACUGUGGGAAAACCCAAGGGCUGUUGCUGCUCAGCUCAAGGACAAGGACUGGCUCUGACACCGCAGACCAGGGCAGAUUGUCACUUGGGGGUCCCUGAGCCCAGAGGGGCUGUGCUGCUCCCCCAGCUCGGGCUGCAGCCCAGCACAGUGUGUCCUGUGUGCCUGCACAUCCCCCUGAGCACAGCUCCCAGGGAUUCCCGACACUGCAGUGUCCCAGGAGCUGGGAAAUGAUCAAGGAUCUCUUGUAGCACCUAGAGGGAGAGCAGCUCUGAAGAACAGCACCCUCCACGCCAGCCGUGCAGCAGAGCGCUAAUUAUUCCUGCCUUCGUCACCCUCGCUGCCAUCACAGGGGACAGCUGGCAUUUCUUCAGCUCCUCGUGCUCCUGCUAAUAAUGAAGAGUGCCUCAGCAUGCUGCACGUUAGGAGAUUUAAUGUGCUGGCUGAAUAUUGUAUUGAGUUCCUGAUUUGUGUCAGCAAGGCCUACUAAUUCAUGAGAAGUGUCACUGGUGCUUAUUUCCCCUUCAUUUGGACACAGGUAAAUUACUCUGGAGAGAGCCUGGCUGCAGCCAUCAGUACUUACUGCAGAUCUUGGCUGACUUGAAAGGUUGCUAAGGGAUCUACUGAAGAACAGACAGACCUCAGAGUGCAGCAGCCUGGUCAAAUACACCUUCUAGGAUUCCUGGUGGUGUCCUCGAGGAAAGCUCAUGAAUCUUAUUCUUGCUGCUCCUGCUUGCAGAGAAAUCUUCUGAGAGUCUAUCCCUGCCAGCCUGUGCUUCUCACUCCUGUGGUCUCUGCACAGAUUCCUGCUUCUCCAGCAUCCCUGGACCUCCCAGCAGCUUUGCUGAUCCUGUGCUGCUGCUGGGAGAAAUCUCAAAUGGCUUUUGCAGCCCCCCUCACCUCUCCUGUUGAUAUUGUAAGCAAACCCCACAUUCCUCGCCUAAAAAUCACUCACAGAAUAUGGAGAAACCCCGCUGAUCUAAAAUACUGUGCUCCUAUUCAUCACAAAAAAGGAAAACUACUGAAACCCCAUGUGAAGUGGUGCAGUUGGGUUCCCUCCUGCCCUGGGGGAUGGAGUGACCCCUGUGCUCUGUGCUGCAGCCGUGAUGGGCACUGGGGGUCAGACAGAGGGGAGGGAAUGCUCCUGUGGCUCCCUGCUGGAGUCUCCAAGGCUGC
Taeniopygia guttata (zebra finch) is the source of this 1627-nucleotide long non-coding RNA. Lineage: Eukaryota; Metazoa; Chordata; Aves; Passeriformes; Estrildidae. The record is from Ensembl.